Camellia sinensis is the source of this 954-nucleotide non-coding RNA. Lineage: Eukaryota; Viridiplantae; Streptophyta; Magnoliopsida; Ericales; Theaceae. The record is from RefSeq and is a predicted model, not a curated record.
UAAAAUAGGAAUUACCGACCUUUAUGGGUUCAAAAAUCAAAAUUGAGUACUUGGAUAUGUUAAUGGGAAUUUUUGGAAUUAUUUGGGAAAAUUAAUUUGAAAUCUAAUUUGUCUGAUUCGUUAAUGGACGUUUGGGUGAUUAACUUUAUAUUGCAAAUUAAAGGCCUUAAAGACUUCAGAUACCGGAACAGGGGACAUAUUUAUGAUCAGCAUAAUUUUUAGAGUUAUCUGGGAAGUUUAAUUGAAAUGUGAUUUUGUGCGAUUCGUAAGGGCGUGUUUGGCCCUUCCUAUUUGUGGGAAGCUUUUAUAUAUGCAUAUGUGCCUUAUGAGUUGUUGAACUCAUCUAUUUUGAACCAAACAAAAAAUAAAAAUAUCUAGAGAAAGGGGAAGGAGAACCGUGAGAGAGAGAGGGAGAGAGAGAGAAGAGGCAAAGCUUCUCCCUAAGGAAUUCAACAUCCAUGGAAGCUUGAAGAUGGUUGAAGAAGAUAGAAGAGAGAGGAAAGAUCAACCAAAAGCUGAGGAAAAAUUGAAGAGACUAAGGGAUGAACAAAGGUUUGGGUAAGGUCGAGACGAGGACAUUGUACCAUUACCACCGGGAACCGAUCACUGUAACCAACCAAGUGGUCAGUCCUAGUCAUGACACCCGUUUUCUUUUGUCAACCUCCAUGGGUUCAGGCACUGCACGAAGCCAUUUAUUUUUGUAAAGUCUAUUGAAAUGUUGGCUUAAUUUUGAUUACCCAUUUAAAGUUAAAGAGGUAGAACUUCAAUGAUUUUUUUAUAUAAGCCCAAUGAUGGGGCUGGGUCUGUACAUAUGGUUGUUUAUCACCGAUGCUACAACAUAUGGUUUGGAGCUUUAUCUAUUUUCCAUGAUGAAUGUGAUGUAUAAGAGGUCCUGGCAUGUAGAUGUAGCUCAAUGGAAUUUAUAUGUAUAGUUAUUUUCCUACUUUAUGCUUC